Molecule: ribosomal RNA, 459 nt
Filed under: uncultured archaeon
Lineage: Archaea
Description: bacterial SSU rRNA
Rfam family: Archaeal small subunit ribosomal RNA
Source: RNAcentral
CAGCGAUAAGGGAACCUCGAGUGCCAGGUUACAAAUCUGGCUGUCGUGAUGCCUAAAAAGCAUUGCAUAGCAAGGGCCGGGCAAGACCGGUGCCAGCCGCCGCGGUAACACCGGCGGCUCGAGUGGUAACCGUUAUUAUUGGGUCUAAAGGGUCUGUAGCCGGCCGGAUAAGUCUCUUGGGAAAUCUGGCAGCUCAACUGUCAGGCUUUCAGGAGAUACUGUCUGGCUCGAGGCCGGGAGAGGUGAGAGGUACUUCAGGGGUAGGGGUGAAAUCUUGUAAUCCUUGAAGGACCACCAGUGGCGAAGGCGUCUCACCAGAACGGACCUGACGGCAAGGGACGAAAGCUAGGGGCACGAACCGGAUUAGAUACCCGGGUAGUCCUAGCCGUAAACGAUACUCGCUAGGUGUCGGCCACGGUGCGACCGUUGUCGGUGCCGUAGGGAAGCCGUGAAGCGAGC